RNAcentral lists this ribosomal RNA (478 nucleotides) under uncultured archaeon. RNAcentral describes it as "bacterial SSU rRNA". It matches the Rfam family "Archaeal small subunit ribosomal RNA", at positions 1 to 471 of the family's 1478-position model. The record is from RNAcentral.
UUUUCCGGUUGAUCCUGCCGGAGACUACCGCUAUCGGAGUCCGAUUUAGCCAUGCUAGUCCACCGAGCCCUUGAGGUUCGGGGCGAAAAGCUGAGUAACACGUGGCCAACCUACCCUGUGGACAGGAAUAACCUCGGGAAACUGAGGAUAAUGCCUGAUAGCAGAACCAUGCUGGAAAUGCGGGUUCUGUGAAAUGACACGUCGCCACAGGAUGGGGCCGCGGCUGAUUAGGUUGUCGGUGAGGUAACGGCUCACCGAGCCCGUAAUCAGUAGCAGCCGUGGGAGCGGUAGCUGCCAGUCGUGUUCUGAGACAAGAACACGGGCCCUACGGGGCGCAGCAGGCACGAAACCUUUACAAUGCACGCGAGUGCGAUAGGGGGACUCCGAGUGCGUUCUUCCCACAAGGAAGGACGCUUUUCUGCACUGUAAGGAGGUGCAGGAACAAGGGGUGGGCAAGACUGCUGCCAGCCGCCGCGGU